CAAGUCGAACGGUGACAGCAAUGUCACAGUGGCGCACGGGUGAGGAACACGUAGCUAACCUGCCCUCAAGUAUGGGAUAACUUCCCGAAAGGGAUGCUAAUACCGUAUAAGCUCACGGGGAGUAAGUACCAGUGAGAAAAGGUUUACUGCUUGAGGAGGGGGCUGCGGCCCAUCAGGUAGUUGGUGAGGUAACGGCUCACCAAGCCGACGACGGGUAGGGGGUCUGAGAGGAUGGCCCCCCACACUGGGACUGAGACACGGCCCAGACUCCUACGGGAGGCAGCAGUGAGGGAUCUUGCGCAAUGGGGGAAACCCUGACGCAGCGACGCCGCGUGGGUGAUGAAGGCCUUCGGGUCGUAAAACCCUUUUGCCACUGACGAGGAAGGACGGUAGGUGGCGAAUAAGCCUCGGCUAACUACGUGCCAGCAGCCGCGGUAAAACGUAGGAGGCAAGCGUUAUCCGGAGUUACUGGGCGUAAAGCGCGCGCAGGCGGUGCGUUAAGUCGGGCGUGAAAGCCCCGUGCUAAACGCGGGGAGGACGAACGAUACUGGCGAACUGGAGUCGAGCAGAGGGACAUGGAAUUCCGGGUGUAGCGGUGAAAUGUGCAGAU
Molecule: ribosomal RNA, 610 nt
Filed under: uncultured bacterium
Lineage: Bacteria
Description: bacterial SSU rRNA
Rfam family: Bacterial small subunit ribosomal RNA
Source: RNAcentral